RNAcentral lists this ribosomal RNA (207 nucleotides) under uncultured bacterium. RNAcentral describes it as "partial 16S ribosomal RNA". It matches the Rfam family "Bacterial small subunit ribosomal RNA", at positions 568 to 774 of the family's 1533-position model. The record is from RNAcentral.
UCCGUAGGUGGAUGAUUAAGUCAGAGGUGAAAUCCUGCAGCUCAACUGUAGAAUUGCCUUUGAUACUGGUCAUCUUGAGUCGUCGUGAAGCAGUUAGAAUAUGUAGUGUAGCGGUGAAAUGCAUAGAUAUUACAUAGAAUACCGAUUGCGAAGGCAGAUUGCUAACGACGUACUGACACUGAUGGACGAAAGCGUGGGGAGCGAACA